This 871-nucleotide ribosomal RNA is filed under the name Enterococcus hirae. RNAcentral's name for it is "bacterial SSU rRNA". It matches the Rfam family "Bacterial small subunit ribosomal RNA", at positions 76 to 925 of the family's 1533-position model. Lineage: Bacteria; Bacillati; Bacillota; Bacilli; Lactobacillales; Enterococcaceae. The record is from RNAcentral.
GAGCUUGCUCCACCGGAAAAAGAAGAGUGGCGAACGGGUGAGUAACACGUGGGUAACCUGCCCAUCAGAAGGGGAUAACACUUGGAAACAGGUGCUAAUACCGUAUAACAAUCGAAACCGCAUGGUUUUGAUUUGAAAGGCGCUUUCGGGUGUCGCUGAUGGAUGGACCCGCGGUGCAUUAGCUAGUUGGUGAGGUAACGGCUCACCAAGGCCACGAUGCAUAGCCGACCUGAGAGGGUGAUCGGCCACAUUGGGACUGAGACACGGCCCAAACUCCUACGGGAGGCAGCAGUAGGGAAUCUUCGGCAAUGGACGAAAGUCUGACCGAGCAACGCCGCGUGAGUGAAGAAGGUUUUCGGAUCGUAAAACUCUGUUGUUAGAGAAGAACAAGGAUGAGAGUAACUGUUCAUCCCUUGACGGUAUCUAACCAGAAAGCCACGGCUAACUACGUGCCAGCAGCCGCGGUAAUACGUAGGUGGCAAGCGUUGUCCGGAUUUAUUGGGCGUAAAGCGAGCGCAGGCGGUUUCUUAAGUCUGAUGUGAAAGCCCCCGGCUCAACCGGGGAGGGUCAUUGGAAACUGGGAGACUUGAGUGCAGAAGAGGAGAGUGGAAUUCCAUGUGUAGCGGUGAAAUGCGUAGAUAUAUGGAGGAACACCAGUGGCGAAGGCGGCUCUCUGGUCUGUAACUGACGCUAAGGCUCGAAAGCGUGGGGAGCAAACAGGAUUAGAUACCCUGGUAGUCCACGCCGUAAACGAUGAGUGCUAAGUGUUGGAGGGUUUCCGCCCUUCAGUGCUGCAGCUAACGCAUUAAGCACUCCGCCGGGGGAGUACGACCGCAAGGUUGAAACUCAAAGGAAUUGACGGGGGCCCGCA